UUCAUUGCGAAGUUGGAGAACAUCUAACUGUGUAAAGGAUCUGAGGGAAUUGGGUGAAGUGAAUUUUGUGACUGUGAAGUUAGACAAUUAAAUUGUCAUCCGUGUUUCCAGAUAAUAGAGAAAAUCCUUUGAGAAAGUUACUUCUCAGGGAAAUGUCUAUCUCAUAUAGUAAUGAAUAGUCAAGAAAGCUGUGUUUUUAAAAAACAUAUAUCCACCAAAUGAUUACAAGUUGGUAUGCUUAAGGAGGGAAGAAAUGUGCAAUUUUUUGGUGUUUUUCUUUUGAGGGUUUCUUGUGCUGGUGUCCACACUCUGGCAACAUUAUCUUAACCUACUUCAACUGUCAGUGGUAGAAGAUAGUAGCUGGGGGUGGCCGAGUGCAAAGUGAGAUCUGCCACAGCGCAGUGGCAGUGCAGACGUGCUGGGGGUGGCUGUGACCUGGGACCCAGCAGCUGGGGGUGAGUGCCUGGAGGAGGAUGUUUCUGACUGGUGCUACCUAGAGAAAAAGCAGCCUGCUGGUGAGAUUCAGGAGUGUGAAGCACCUUAGGGCAUCAGGGUUUAGAAAGGGGUAGAAGAACAUGGGACAGAAAUGAGCAGUACAGAGCAAUGACAUACUUGAUGAAAAGCCAGCCUUACUGAGUGAGCACAGUCACAGAAUGAAAAGCUGCCCACUGGGCAGAUACCAGUGAUUGUACCAUAAGCAGGAAAAUGGCAUCAAUCUAGACACAGUGCUUUUUGUGACUCUUAAGGCAUUGAUGGAUGAAGACUUAAUGAAGAGAAGCUUCCUUUUUCUUAUGUUUUGACAUCUUUCAGGCUUAAACAUGAACUAACUACCAUUAUCCUAAUUUUACAGAUGGGGACAGACAGGUUAUGUGACAUGCUCCAGGUCACAUGAGCUGUGUGUGUCAGAGUGAGAAACAGCACCUGGAUCUCUCAAUUGUGAAGCUGUUGCUUUUGGCACUGCGUCAUCCUGACUGCAAACAAAACACUGAGAUUGACUUUGCCUGUGUCCUUCUUAUGCCUACAAAUGUGCCCACCUGCCAGCUUCAGAGCCAGCAGUCCACACCAUGUGCCCAAGGCAAGCCUGAUGCUUCCGCACGACGUCCAAAACUAUCAGUGUUGGGAUCAGAGAGACUAAUUGGAAAACUUAAAUUUUUUUAAGUCUGCCAGCCCAACAGCUCCUCCGGAAGAGCAUCCAGACGACACAGCAGGGAGCGAGGCACUGCUUGCCUGCACUCAGCAAUGUGCUGUUGAAUCACUGGGCCACAAAGUAAGUGCAUGCGAGGGAGCAUGGCUGCCUUUCCUACUGGUUUGAGCAUUCGCAUGGGAGUUUGAGAGUCUGGACUCUGCUCCCAGGACUGUUUAUGCAUUUUACGUGGAACAGUCACCAGGUAACAUAUAAUCCCCAAUCAAAGCCCUGAGGGGGUUCAGGCAAAGCAACGCCCAGUUUUUGGAUUCUGAUCAGAGUUAGGUGUGAAAUGGGCUGAGCUGCUUGGCCCUGUCAAGACUGGGGCAGUUCUGGGCAUGCAUGAAGGUGGAACUCUAGAUAGCUGAAGAACUUGAGAGUAUUAAAAAAAAGCUAGAGAUUGAAAGGGACAGACAGUCGGAAGAAUCUGGGAGCUGCAGCGGGCUGUAUAUGUGGGCAUUUCAAAGUGCAGAUCUAGGAUAAAGACUCAUGUGCUCCAAUGAUGAAGUCCUCUUACAGGGAAACAAUUGUUCUCACAGAUUUCUGAAGUAGAAACUUAUUUACAUAACCAUUUUUUUAAUGUCCUAUCCUAGUCACUGCAUUUGCUUGGAUUUCUUUCCACUAGGCUGCAUGUGCUGAGCUGCACAAUGGUGGCUGCCAUAUGAAUAGCUUGUUAUUCUUACCAAGCGUGACAACUGCUGUAGCAAAAUCAAGAGCAACCUGCUCUAAUGUAAACUGAUUUCAGAUUGCCCCUGGCAGUCCCAGCUACCUCAUCUAACCUCUUUUUUUGCCAGUUUUUUUCUUCCUUUUUUUUUUUUUCCUUCUCCCCACUGAAGACACACCCAGUGCUUUCUUGUAAGGCGUUUUAUCACACUGGCUUUUCCAUCAGCAUCCACAACACACAGAGAAGCUUCUCUGGUAUUGCCCUUGAUAUAUCUAAAGCCUCUUGGAUUCUCCAUCAGAUGCAGAAUGCAGCUGCCAGCUGUCUCCUGGGGAGAGCUCUG
Long non-coding RNA from Chrysolophus pictus (golden pheasant), 2187 nucleotides. The record is from Ensembl. NCBI's taxonomy places the organism in Eukaryota, Metazoa, Chordata, Aves, Galliformes, Phasianidae.